GGCCAAGUGGUGCAACUGGUAGACACGCGACGCUCAGAACGUCGUGCCCAUUACGGGCUUGGGAGUUCGAAUCUCCCCUUGGUCA
RNAcentral lists this transfer RNA (85 nucleotides) under Planctomycetaceae bacterium. RNAcentral describes it as "tRNA-Leu". It matches the Rfam family "tRNA". Rfam says of the family: Transfer RNA (tRNA) molecules are approximately 80 nucleotides in length. Their secondary structure includes four short double-helical elements and three loops (D, anti-codon, and T loops). The record is from RNAcentral. Lineage: Bacteria; Pseudomonadati; Planctomycetota; Planctomycetia; Planctomycetales; Planctomycetaceae.